This 226-nucleotide ribosomal RNA is filed under the name uncultured bacterium. Its description in RNAcentral is "partial 16S ribosomal RNA". It matches the Rfam family "Bacterial small subunit ribosomal RNA", at positions 524 to 747 of the family's 1533-position model. The record is from RNAcentral.
CACGUAGGGCGCAAGCGUUGUCCGGAAUUAUUGGGCGUAAAGAGCUCGUAGGCGGUCUGUUGCGUCCGCUGUGAAAACUCGGGGCUUAACCCCGAGCCUGCAGUGGAUACGGGCAGACUAGAGGUGAGGUAGGGGAGAAUGGAAUUCCCGGUGUAGCGGUGAAAUGCGCAGAUAUCGGGAGGAACACCGGUGGCGAAGGCGGUUCACUGGGCCUUACCUGGACGCU